This is a long non-coding RNA of Frieseomelitta varia, 542 nucleotides long. RefSeq lists it as uncharacterized. NCBI's taxonomy places the organism in Eukaryota, Metazoa, Arthropoda, Insecta, Hymenoptera, Apidae. The transcript has 2 exons. The record is from RefSeq and is a predicted model, not a curated record.
AUCGAUCGUAUCGAACCACCGCGAGCACCGAGUGUCGCACCCGCGGCACGUAACACACUGUCGCCGCUUCGAUGAUCGAAAUAUUGCAACGGCCAGUCGGCGUAAUCGGCGAGUCGGCGAUUCUUACUCCCUCGAAAACCAUUGUUACCCUUGUCGCGUCGGUUCGCUUAGUUUCUUCUAUGCGACGUAUCAGACCUACGUGAUCGAAGAGGCGAAGCAAAAGACGGAGCGAAAAUUAUUCGACAUUUCGAAGUCGCUGGAAAUGAUAUUUCGGAAGGAUAUUCUGAGGUCGCGUCAAGCAGAGAAGUGGGAGAGGGAGCGUGAAACUACGCGAGCAACGAGGAUAUUCUGGCGAUGCAAUGAAAAAAAAAAAAAAAAGAAGAAGAAGAAAAAGAGAAAGAAAAGAGUCGAAUUGACAUUGAACAGAGUCGAUCGGUUGAUUGCCUCUGGCUGGAAUAAAUCUUCCCGCCAACAGUUUCUUCCUGUUUGUUUCCAAGGUGAAUCGAACGACGCAAGGAUCGCCGAAGCACCGUUCGUCGAGG